This 2506-nucleotide long non-coding RNA is filed under the name Olea europaea subsp. europaea. The record is from RNAcentral. Lineage: Eukaryota; Viridiplantae; Streptophyta; Magnoliopsida; Lamiales; Oleaceae.
UCUCACGUCUUCAAUCCCGCCUCAAAGUCGACAAGCCCUAAUCUGUCUCCCAUCUAUUUCUCUCAAAUCGUCGACGAUAAUCUUCAUUUUGCCGUUGCCGAUCAUCGGACAUCCACACUCCAGUGCUAGAGUGAGUAUAUACUGCAUAUUUCCUUAUUCUGGCUCCACCAAUUCUCCCUUUCAUAAAGAUCAUUGUAAUUUGUAAAUAAUCUUAUCACUCCCAAUUCUAACUAGGCCCAAAAAUCAUCAAUCGUCGUCUAGCAAUACCCUUUAUUGCUAUUAAUUGUUUUUUGAAAGGCUGGUUUUUUUUCCUCUUCAUAAAAGCUUUAGUGGGUGAAUUGUUUUUGUUGGGUUCUGUGUAGAUGAAAGAGGGACCUCAGAAGAGCUGGAAAGAAGACUUGGCUUCCAAUUUAGAGAGAGAAAGAUAGCUGUAAAGUGAAGGCAAAUAUGAGAUCAUUGACAUGUACAGAUACACAAUUUAUAGCUGUCUGUGAAAAAAAUAUUUAUGGAGACAAUUUAUACUAUAUCAAAUAAUAUAAAUUUUUAUCCCAGGUUCUGCGAUUCGUUCGUUUGAAAAAUUAGUUCACUAUGGAGAAAUUACACUGAAAAUGAUAUAUACAGGGGAAAUAAUAUACGACAAUUUCAACAACUAUAAUAUAACAUACCAGAUGAGUAUUGAAUUUUCCAGGCCUUUUCCUAACAGAGAAAUGUAGACUUUUGUUUGGAGGAGAUCAGGCGUGCCUUUUCAAGGGUGCAUUUUAGACGGUGAUGCCAGCAGUUCUUGUCUCUCAUUGUGCAGUAAUUCCACGGUUUACAAAUGCUUUACACAUGGUAUUUAUCUAUAUAGUUUUUUAUGGAAUUUAUAUCUGAUUAUGGAAUGCAUUUAAUGGAAAAACGUGUGAAAGGGUCAUUCAAUUUUUCUUCAGUUACAGAUUAGAAUUUGAAUGCUAAUUAUAGAAACCAAUAUUUUUAGUCAUAUUUAUCAGUCAGCGUAGUAUUUUUGAAAAAGCUUCUCACUACAUGGUAAGAUGUGAAUAAGUUUUAUAUUCUGAUGCAUAUAUGAGAAUUUCCUAUUAAUUAAAUAUUGAACCUGGUUAAGUUUAAGUGACGAGCCAAGCCCACUUGAACUUCUAUUAAUAAGUUGUUAGGGUUUGGAAACAAUACAGACAUUCAUUAUCUUACUAGCACAAGAAGAAAUAAACCAAUUCUCUCAUUCUUGUUUCCUAUUUGAAUUUUCAAAGUUGAACAAUUAGACAACUAUGGAUUACAGAUCGUGAUUGUUCUCCGCAGAAUUAACUAAAUGUAUAAUUCUUAUUGCCAUUUCUAUCUAAACAUAAAGUAAAUCUUUGGUGAAAAUUGAAAUUAUUAUAAAUUUCAUUGUGCAUGAUUAAGUAAAUUUCCAGUAGUUGUAUUAGAGCCUACUUUAUGCUUGUAGAAACUGUUUUGCAUGUUACAACAAUCAAAAGUUGAUUGUUAUUAAUUUUCUUGAUUCUAGCAAUUUGAAAAAUUAUUUUUCAUCUUUAAAAAUCUGUUUUAAAAAAAAUUAAUUUAUUGGUCGAAAAUUAGAUUUGAGCAUCAUGGACAGCGAAGAAAGUCACCGUCACCACGGUGGCAGUGUAUGCAGCUACGUGUUGCACGAUGGUACUUUGCCUAUGAUCUCCAACGGCGAGUCCCACUACUCGUAUAAACAACACCAGGAGCUGCUGUUUUUGUGGCAAUGACAGUGCCGGCACUGCUUGUUGCUGCAAGGUAAACUUGUGACAACAUAAAGUAGUGUGUAGAAGUGUUAGAAGCUUAGUGUGUUUUGUUCAUGUUUUAAAUACCAUUUAGAUUUGAUAUAUUGUUUGAUUUUUAGAGUUUUACAAUGUUUUGAUGUAUGUUUUAGUGUUGUUUUACAGUAGGUGAAGUGGUGUAAAUGAUGCAAAAAUUAGAGAACAUAGUGAUUUUAGCAUAAAUCAAGAAGAAGAUAACUUGCAAAUAGGCAACAAACACAAGGAGUGAGCGGAAAUAGCAUGAAAACAUAGUUAUAUUACGACAAAUGGGGCAUCCAAGUGUCACAAUCCGAUGCCUUGGCGUCACACAUAGCAAGGUAAGAAAAAUAAUUUAGCAGACUGGCAACCAAGAGCUAAACAAGAAGUUGGCGCCUGGGCGCUAGUCACAUCAUUCAUCUUGGUGCUUAGGCGCCCAAUCAAGGCGCAUAGGUUCCAGUUGCCAUUCAGAUAAGGUUUUGUAUUUUUUUUAUCCGUUUAGAAGUCCAAUUUAACGCCAACUCGUCUAGGGCUUCAACGAGGCAUAGAUACAACCUUGAGGGCAUUUUGAACUAUAGUUAGAUGAGACAAAAGCAAGAGAUCGAGAGGAACAACGAGAAGAAAAUUGAUUCAAGCUCCAAAACAAUUUUUAUUUCUUUCUUCUUUACGUUCUUGAUUGAACUAAGUUAUUCAUCCAAGGUUUGAUGUAAUUGAUGUUUUAAGAUUACUUUUUGAGAUUCAAUAAUUAUUUCUUUGAG